This 257-nucleotide ribosomal RNA is filed under the name uncultured bacterium. RNAcentral's name for it is "partial 16S ribosomal RNA". It matches the Rfam family "Bacterial small subunit ribosomal RNA", at positions 524 to 776 of the family's 1533-position model. The record is from RNAcentral.
UACGUAGGGUGCAAGCGUUAAUCGGAAUUACUGGGCGUAAAGCGUGCGCAGGCGGUGAUGUAAGACAGGUGUGAAAUCCCCGGGCUUAACCUGGGAACUGCAUUUGUGACUGCACGGCUGGAGUGCGGCAGAGGGGGAUGGAAUUCCGCGUGUAGCAGUGAAAUGCGUAGAUAUGCGGAGGAACACCGAUGGCGAAGGCAAUCCCCUGGGGCCUGCACUGACGCUCAUGCACGAAAGCCGUGGGGGAGCAAAACAGG